GAUUAAGCCAUGCAUGUGUAAGUAUAAAUAGUUAACUUUGAAACUGCGAAUGGCUCAUUAUAUCAGUUAUAGUUUAUUUGAUGAAGAAUACUAAUUGGAUAACCGUAGUAAUUCUAGAGCUAAUACAUGUAUAAAGUCUUGUAGACUGCAUUUAUUAGAAUGAAAACCAUAAGUUUCGGCCUAUUCUUGAGUAAUAAUAACUAAUCAUAUCGUAUGCUUAUGUAACGAUGUGUCUUUCAAGUUUCUGCCCUAUCAGCUUUCGAUGGUAGUGUAUUGGACUACCAUG
This 286-nucleotide ribosomal RNA is filed under the name Blastocystis sp. RNAcentral's name for it is "partial small subunit ribosomal RNA". It matches the Rfam family "Eukaryotic small subunit ribosomal RNA", at positions 42 to 348 of the family's 1831-position model. Lineage: Eukaryota; Bigyra; Opalinata; Blastocystidae. The record is from RNAcentral.